Molecule: ribosomal RNA, 494 nt
Filed under: uncultured bacterium
Lineage: Bacteria
Description: partial 16S ribosomal RNA
Rfam family: Bacterial small subunit ribosomal RNA
Source: RNAcentral
GACGAACGCUGGCGGCGUGCUUAACACAUGCAAGUCGAACGGUGAAGCGCCUUCCUUUUUGGUGGGUGUGGAUGAGUGGCGAACGGGUGAGUAACACGUGAGUAACCUGCCCCCUUCUUCUGGAUAACCGCAUGAAAGUGUGGCUAAUACGGGAUAUUCUGGGUCUGUCGCAUGAUGGGUCUGGGAAAGAUAUUGUUUCGGUGGGGGAUGGGCUCGCGGCCUAUCAGCUUGUUGGUGGGGUGAUGGCCUACCAAGGCGGUGACGGGUAGCCGGCCUGAGAGGGUGGACGGUCACACUGGGACUGAGACACGGCCCAGACUCCUACGUGAGGCAGCAGUGGGGAAUAUUGCACAAUGGGCGCAAGCCUGAUGCAGCGACGCCGCGUGAGGGAUGGAGGCCUUCGGGUUGUGAACCUCUUUCGCCAGUGAAGCAGGCCUGCCUCGUUUGUGGGUGGGUUGACGGUAGCUGGAUAAGAAGCGCCGGCUAACUACGUG